Molecule: ribosomal RNA, 476 nt
Filed under: uncultured bacterium
Lineage: Bacteria
Description: SSU rRNA
Rfam family: Bacterial small subunit ribosomal RNA
Source: RNAcentral
AGGACAAACGCUGGCGGCGUACCUAAGACAUGCAAGUCGAACGGGCGCAACACCCUUCGGGGUGAAGUGUUAGUGGCGGACGGGUGAGUAACGCGUAGGAACCUAUCGCACAGUGGGGGAUACCACUGGGAAACCGGUGCUAAUACCGCAUGUGGUCAGCGAUGAAGAAAGCGGCCCACGCGAGUGGGUGGCGCUGUGUGAGGGGCCUGCGUCCGAUUAGCUGGUUGGUGGGGUAAAGGCCUACCAAGGCGACGAUCGGUAGCUGGUCUGAGAGGAUGGUCAGCCACACUGGGACUGAGAUACGGCCCAGACUCCUACGGGGGGCAGCAGUGAGGAAUUUUCGGCAAUGGGGGCAACCCUGACCGAGCAACGCCGCGUGCAGGACGACGGCCUUCGGGUUGUAAACUGCUUUUCUCUGGGACGAGCAAGGACGGUACCAGAGGAAGAAGCCCGGCUAACUACGCGCCAGCAGCCGC